Molecule: ribosomal RNA, 253 nt
Filed under: uncultured bacterium
Lineage: Bacteria
Description: partial 16S ribosomal RNA
Rfam family: Bacterial small subunit ribosomal RNA
Source: RNAcentral
UACGGAGGGUGCGAGCGUUGUUCGGAAUUAUUGGGCGUAAAGCGCGUGUAGGCGGCUCCUUAAGUCUGAUGUGAAAGCCCCGGGCUCAACCCGGGAAGUGCAUUGGAAACUGGGGAACUUGAAUACGGGAGAGGGUAGUGGAAUUCCUGGUGUAGGAGUGGAAUCCGUAGAUAUCAGGAGGAACACCGGUGGCGAAGGCGGAUCUCUGGGCCAUAACUGACGCUGAGGAGCGAAAGCAUGGGGAGCGAACAGG